UCCCCGUCCUGCAUUCUCAGAUGCGGCCACCGGGGGCGAAUGGAGCCAGACAGGAAGGAGCCUGGGACGUCGAGUGAAGUGAAGCAAGCAGCCGGCAGCAGUAUGAGAGGACACAGAGCGUACGUAUGCCUACUAUUUGAUACCUAUUCGGAGCAGCACAUUAACCUAGCCUGACUAUUGGAUCAGAACCAGAAUCAGAACAGUUGGCGCCCAACGUGGGGCCUGAAGGAUUGGACCUCCUUCUGGCAUACCCCCAGAGACUGAACCGGGAGAGACAAGCCAACGGACACCGGGACCGCGGUCUUAAUAAGAGAUCCUGACUCCCUAGAAGACAGCCACACUCUGAAACCAGGAGAGUGGGUAGUGGUCAAG
This is a long non-coding RNA of Bufo gargarizans (Asiatic toad), 372 nucleotides long. RefSeq lists it as uncharacterized. Lineage: Eukaryota; Metazoa; Chordata; Amphibia; Anura; Bufonidae. The record is from RefSeq and is a predicted model, not a curated record. The transcript has 3 exons.